GGGCCCCUAGUUCAUCUGGUAGAACGUCUCAUUUGCAAUGAGAAGGUGAGCGGUUCGAGCCCGCUGGGGUCCACCA
This 76-nucleotide transfer RNA is filed under the name Candidatus Daviesbacteria bacterium RIFCSPHIGHO2_01_FULL_44_29. RNAcentral describes it as "tRNA-Ala". It matches the Rfam family "tRNA". Rfam says of the family: Transfer RNA (tRNA) molecules are approximately 80 nucleotides in length. Their secondary structure includes four short double-helical elements and three loops (D, anti-codon, and T loops). Lineage: Bacteria; Candidatus Daviesiibacteriota. RNAcentral also lists the same sequence under 3 other names. The record is from RNAcentral.